This is a non-coding RNA of Chlorocebus sabaeus (green monkey), 5071 nucleotides long. The record is from RefSeq and is a predicted model, not a curated record. Lineage: Eukaryota; Metazoa; Chordata; Mammalia; Primates; Cercopithecidae.
CAUAACUAUAUAGAUUUUAGUUAAGUUAGCUUUCUUAGUGUUCUCAGCUUUCUUAAGGGGAUAAAAAGCAAUGAUUUUAUGGAUUAUCUGACUUUUCCUUUAGUAUUAGGUUUGCCCAAUCAUCUCCACGAUUUCUAAAUUCCAAACUUCUUGAAUAAAUAAAUGUUAAAAGAAAACAUUGUACUAAAGUCAAAAGAAGGGUUUUAAAGCAUAGUUCUACUUUUUACUGUCUGUGUAUCCUUGGAUAAACUACUCCUCCAAAAUUAUAUUACUUGCUUUUUCAGCUUGUUGAGUCUUUCAUAAAUUUAAGGGUUGGAAUAUGUCUCUCAGACAGAAAGUGAUAGAGCUUUGCAAGUCUUCAGAUGUAUUCAAGUUUGGUAAACACUGGGUUAGGCCAUGGAUAAAAGAUUGGUCUUUGUGUGUUCAUAAGAAAACCUGGAUAGGAAGCUCUUCUUCUUACACAAAGCCUCGGUUGAGAAGUAAAGCUGGGACUAUUAGUCCAUGUUCUGCAUUGAAAUAAUGGUAGCCAUGCCUAGAUUGAUUUAAGAUGCCUGUCUUCACACAGUUAAUAGUCACAUCAAGGGAAAGAGCAACAGGCAGAACUCUUGGCUUUGUAUAAGAGCCCGAGGAAAGGGCCUGAGAGAGUACAUACUUACUGUCUCAAAGUGCAGUGUUAAUGUGAGGUGUUGGGGAAGAGGUCUUGGGUGUGUGUGUGUCUGCAUAAUAUAUGUGUGGAAACUGUCAGUGCUGGUCCUUUGAGAUAUGUCUGUGAAAACUUUCAAUUAACAAAAAUAACCAACAUUAAUUGAAUACUUCUUAUGUGCCAGUCACUGUUCCAAGUUCUCUACAAAAGGUAAUUCUUUAGUCCUUAUAGUAGUACUGUAGUGGUGCUGAUACUAUUUUUAUCUUCAUUUUUCAGAUGAGGAAGCUAAAUCACGUAAAAAUUAAGAAACAGCUCAGCGUUUCACAGCUAACUGGCAACUAUUUUGCUAAAUAUUUACAUUGAAGAGAGAGGCUUGCUUUGAAGAAAUGCAAAGAGUCAAUAAAACACAUGGUUCCUUGACCUUGAGAAAUUGAAAACUUCAAUAUGGAGAUUGGAAGAAUAUAUGAAUAAGACAAUACUUCUGAAGAGGAAUACAAACAAUUAGUAAUUAAUUCCAUGAAAAUGGAAAGCACAAGUGCUAGAAGACAAAGAACAAUGGAGCAAAUGUGGCCAAAUGAUACGAAUUGAGGAAGAGUACCUACCGGCACCGUAUGAUAACACCAUGGAAAUAAGCAAUCCUUUAUCUUUCUAUAAUGCUUUUCUUUCCAAAAAGUUAUUUCAAAAAGUUUAACUAAGGAAUAUUCUUUUACAUAUAUAAUAUUUAAAAAACCAGAUUAUUCCCCCUUAAAGCAAUGACCGCCAGUGCUUUAAACUGAAGUAACUUUCCAUUUUGGUGAUUCUGAUGGAUAUAUUGAUAUGAGUCUGUAUGGAAAGGUAAACAAAAGUCGGUUCAUAUCAAUGUAACCAAGAAAGGAAAAAAAAUAUCCUUUUGGGUGGCAGGAAUAAGAAUUCACUUGUAUAUAGAUUAUAAUUUAAAAUUGACUUCUGAAUUUGUCAAGCCUUUUGACCUGUAUUCAGAGCACUCUGAGAGGGCUCAUGCCAGCAAGUUACAAUACUGUAUUUAUCAGCAGCCACCUACAGAGCUUUAGUGUCCAGCUGCUACUUUUUUUUUCUUCUGAUCCGUUGGUACUUUUUAUCUAAAAUGCCUGUAGACCAAACAGCAUUGACUAAGAAAAGAGAGCAAAAGUGUUUUCCUGAAAUCAUUAUUUUAUUGGGACAAAAGAGCGAAGUUUUCUGAAACAACCUUAAGAAGUACAGAUAUUGAACAUGUUAACAAUACUAGUAUUCUUCCUAAAAACCACAUUACACCUCACCUCACUGGCUCUAUUGAGUGGAAUGUCAUGUCAAAUGAAAGGAAAUAAAGAAGCCCAAACUGCUUAUUCGAACAAGGUGCCAUCAAUAAUGCCCACAUGGGCGAUUGUUCCCUGAUUUAAGAGCUUGUCUACUUCAUGCAUCCACUUAAAGGCCUUUGGAUAGAAGAAAAUACACCCAUUCAAACAGAAUGUUAAAUUAAGAAAGAUUCAUUCCCAUUCUACUGCCCCAUUCCUUAUGCAGCCAAUUUCCUUUGCCUAUCUCUGUCGUAGCAUUUAUUCUGUUGACCAUUUAUAGUAUUGAAUUUAUGAUGUGCAAUUUGUGCUUCUAAACUUAGACCCUGUGCAUACAUAUUUACAUAUAAUAGGAUAUUUGUUCUAAUUUUUAAAUAAAAAAAUUUGCUUUUGGAAGACAUCUUAGGAAGAUCAAUCAGGGAAGAACACAGCUGGCUUUUAAAAGUUGAGUUUCUAUUUAAAGUUUCCUGCUAUUAUCUUGACAAUUUUAUUAUUAUCAAAGCAUUUGAAUAUUAGGUAUGACAAUGAGCACUCACAGCAGGGAAGAGAGGAGCAGGAAUGUAAGUGGGAGGGGGCCACUAACAAGUGUACCCCCCAUUGUAGCCAUAAUAAUUUAAUAUUCUCAUCCUGGGAGGCUCCAUUUUGCUUGGCCUGUAUGGAGCUACUCACUGGACAUGUUGUUUCCUUUUGGCCAAACUCUCAGGGUCUCCCUUGAACAGCCUGUAAGACUUCAAAUAAAGAAUCAUGCUGAUAAUUGCCUAAGGGCAGGAUUUUUGUUUUGCCUAGGAGUCAGUAAUUUAACUACUACACUGAGGGAGGCUUCUGGGUUUUGAAUAGAAUUUCUUUCAAGGUUGUAUUAAAGUUGUUGGUAGAUCAAUAGUUUUUCAUCUUAUUGACUACUUGCCUCCUCUCAAAAACUAAGGGUUACACAGUCACUAAAUGAUACAGACUCUAGAUGUAUUGGAGUUGCCACAUGCCGAUGGCCUUAUUCUGUUUGUUCUGUACUUUGUGGUUCAAUAGAUACAUAUUUUUUAAGCAGUGGAUUUAACUCUUUCAUCUAGAUUUUUGCUCAAUAUCAGAUAGGAUUUAAAGCUGUUAUGUUAAAGAUGUUAAACAGAAGAGGCAGAUUAUUUUUUCAUGUAAUUCCUACUCUUGUAUUUUUCCUGGUAUCAAUGUAGAGGAUAACCUCCCUGAAGUCUUUAAGGCAUUAUCAUUUUAAAAAAGAUUCACAAGCCCAGAUAACCUUGGCAUAGUAUGGUACAGAAUAUACUAUAAAUAGGAUUUGUCUCAGUCUUUAUCCCUGAAGUACAUGAAUGAUUUUGUACUUUUUACCAUAACAUUGUACUGCAAUGAACAUUGGGAAAAUAGGUGUUACAAUGAGCUCCAGGGUAUUUCUAAGAGAGAAAAGGAAAAAAAAAUUAAUAUAGUUUCUUCUUUGCAAAAUUGAUUUAGACUGGGAAAUGGGGGUUUAUCUAAGGUUAUGCAUGUUAGAGUGAAGUGUUAAAUUAAGGGAACCUAAUCACUAUGUAGUUUUUGAUUAUCACUAGUUGUCUCCAAGACACACUUUAAAAAUGAAAAAGAAAUAUUAGUAGAGCUAUUAAGCAUUUGGUUCUUUGUUUUUAUUGAUUUCAAUCCAAACAAUGGGAAACUCUCAAAGAAAAUGCCUGGCUUAAAAUACCACAUUGCCAUGGGAAAGUGGAUAUUUCAGUUAUUUGUUUUUUUCAACUGCUGAAUUUAUUUUAGAAUUUUAAAAUCUUUGUCUAUUGAUAAAGAUAUGUUUUUCUUUUGACCAUAACUUAGAGUUUAAGCAAUGUGAGCUCAUUAAGAAAUGCCAGGUUAUGGUCAGAAAUGUCUCUUUAAGAUUCCCAUGACCACAUGGGUCUUGUGUCUUGUUUUGGAGCCCAGUGACCUCAGGCGUGAAGGUCAGAGGUCAUGAUGGUGUUCUGUGUACUUCUAUUGUGUGCAUCUUUACUCAGGAUGGUGAAAAGAGUUAUCAUUGCUGGGUCCAGCCUUCAUCUCCAAGGUAGGUUGAUAGAACAUCUGAACAUGAAUGAUUAUUAUUGGUAUAUUUAUGCUGAGUCUCCAUGGAGAACAAAGGCUCUUUAAGAAAUAGGCCUGACCAUUAAUAUGACCAUUAUCAUGAUAACAAAGAGGGUAGUUUAGGGUAAGGAGCAGACCAUCAAGGUUAACACCCUUGUAUGCAUACAUGUGUGUAUUAAGCGCUGGAUGAAAAAACAACAAAUGAAGGAGAGCAUGAGAGCAAUUAUUUUUCAAUAAGAGCCAUAAAUGCUGAGGUGGACAUUUGUCUAGAUGUCUGCAUUUCUUUAUAAACACCCAAAGACAUCUAAUUACCAAAUUUUAAAAAUGAAUGUGAAAUAGACACAGACUUUUUCAUGUGGUAUUUGCAUUUUUAACUUAAUGGCAUAUUGUUCCAAACUUGGGGCUAAGGCAAGUAAGAGAGAAGCAAAACAAAACAUACAGAAGGACAUUAAUAAUUGGAUUAAUUUGGGCUCAAGAUGAUUUAAAAGUUCUUGUAUAGGAUUUUAUUAGGCAAAGUAUAAGAUAAAAUUUUCAUAAGUUGCAUUCACUAAGUCCUUUGUGAUAUUUUAAAAUUCUGAUUGAAUCAUUGGUGCCAAAUAUAUGUAGCAGGGCUACUGUUCUCUCCUGAGGAGCUCACACUUUCUUUAAGAUCUCACUUGGCAAUUGUCGUCUUACUUUACAGUGCUAACUUGGCACAGAUAUUGCAGCUAAAGGACGCAGAGUGGCAUAGUAGUCAGGAGUGCGGACUCCGGAACUGAUUGCCCUGGGCUCAAUCCCAGCUCCAUGACUUACUAGUUGGAUGAACAAGAGCAAGUUAAAGCUCCCUGUGCCUCAGUUUCUUUACUUGUAAAAUAAAUUUGUUAUGAAGAUUAAAUAAGUUAACAUAUAUAGAGUGUUGCAAUCCUUGGAACAUAGUAAGUUAUUUUAGCUCUCUAUAUCUCAGUUUCUUUGUCUGUAAAAUAGAGGUAGUAUUUGUAACUCCUCCAUAGGAUUAUUGUUAGAAUUUAAUUAAUUGUGUAUUUGCUUACAACAGUGCUUGACAUUGUGUAAGUGUUAGCAAUUAUAAUUGUACAGAAUAAAUAUCAAAUUUUUUGAACUUCAA